GAGAGGAGCUUGCUCUUCUUGGAUGAGUUGCGAACGGGUGAGUAACGCGUAGGUAACCUGCCUUGUAGCGGGGGAUAACUAUUGGAAACGAUAGCUAAUACCGCAUAACAAUGGAUGACACAUGUCAUUUAUUUGAAAGGGGCAAUUGCUCCACUACAAGAUGGACCUGCGUUGUAUUAGCUAGUAGGUGAGGUAAUGGCUCACCUAGGCGACGAUACAUAGCCGACCUGAGAGGGUGAUCGGCCACACUGGGACUGAGACACGGCCCAGACUCCUACGGGAGGCAGCAGUAGGGAAUCUUCGGCAAUGGGGGCAACCCUGACCGAGCAACGCCGCGUGAGUGAAGAAGGUUUUCGGAUCGUAAAGCUCUGUUGUAAGUCAAGAACGGGUGUGAGAGUGGAAAGUUCACACUGUGACGGUAGCUUACCAGAAAGGGACGGCUAACUACGUGCCAGCAGCCGCGGUAAUACGUAGGUCCCGAGCGUUGUCCGGAUUUAUUGGGCGUAAAGCGAGCGCAGGCGGUUUGAUAAGUCUGAAGUUAAAGGCUGUGGCUCAACCAUAGUUCGCUUUGGAAACUGUCAAACUUGAGUGCAGAAGGGGAGAGUGGAAUUCCAUGUGUAGCGGUGAAAUGCGUAGAUAUAUGGAGGAACACCGGUGGCGAAAGCGGCUCUCUGGUCUGUAACUGACGCUGAGGCUCGAAAGCGUGGGGAGCGAACAGGAUUAGAUACCCUGGUAGUCCACGCCGUAAACGAUGAGUGCUAGGUGUUGGAUCCUUUCCGGGAUUCAGUGCCGCAGCUAACGCAUUAAGCACUCCGCCUGGGGAGUACGACCGCAAGGUUGAAACUCAAAGGAAUUGACGGGGGCCCGCACAAGCGGUGGAGCAUGUGGUUUAAUUCGAAGCAACGCGAAGAACCUUACCAGGUCUUGACAUCCCGAUGCUAUUUCUAGAGAUAGAAAGUUACUUCGGUACAUCGGUGACAGGUGGUGCAUGGUUGUCGUCAGCUCGUGUCGUGAGAUGUUGGGUUAAGUCCCGCAACGAGCGCAACCCCUAUUGUUAGUUGCCAUCAUUCAGUUGGGCACUCUAGCGAGACUGCCGGUAAUAAACCGGAGGAAGGUGGGGAUGACGUCAAAUCAUCAUGCCCCUUAUGACCUGGGCUACACACGUGCUACAAUGGUUGGUACAACGAGUUGCGAGUCGGUGACGGCGAGCUAAUCUCUUAAAGCCAAUCUCAGUUCGGAUUGUAGGCUGCAACUCGCCUACAUGAAGUCGGAAUCGCUAGUAAUCGCGGAUCAGCACGCCGCGGUGAAUACGUUCCCGGGCCUUGUACACACCGCCCGUCACACCACGAGAGUUUGUAACACCCGAAGUCGGUGAGGUAACCUUUUGG
This 1388-nucleotide ribosomal RNA is filed under the name Streptococcus thermophilus. RNAcentral describes it as "bacterial SSU rRNA". It matches the Rfam family "Bacterial small subunit ribosomal RNA", at positions 71 to 1446 of the family's 1533-position model. The record is from RNAcentral. Lineage: Bacteria; Bacillati; Bacillota; Bacilli; Lactobacillales; Streptococcaceae.